AUUGAACGCUAGCGGGAUGCUUUACACAUGCAAGUCGAACGAGUGGCGGACGGGUGAGUAAUAUAUCGGAACGUGCCCAGUAGCGGGGGAUAACUACUCGAAAGAGUGGCUAAUACCGCAUACUAUUGUCGCGGCCGAUAUCGGUUUAGCUAGUUGGUGGGGUAAAGGCUCGCCAAGGCCACGAUCCGUAGCUGGUUUGAGAGGAUGACCAGCAACACUAGGACUGAUACACGGCCCAGACUCCUACGGGAGGCAGCAGUGGGGAAUUUUGGACAAUGGGGGAAACCCUGAUCCAGCCAUCCCGCGUGUAUGAGAAGGCCUUCGGGUUGUAAAGUACUUUUAGCAGAGAAGCGGUAUCUGCAGAAUAAGCACCGGCUAACUACGUGCCAGCCGCCGCGGUAAUUC
RNAcentral lists this ribosomal RNA (405 nucleotides) under uncultured bacterium. RNAcentral's name for it is "partial 16S ribosomal RNA". It matches the Rfam family "Bacterial small subunit ribosomal RNA", at positions 30 to 526 of the family's 1533-position model. The record is from RNAcentral.